CGCUUACGGCUCUCCAUCUGGUUCAGUUUAUUCUCCAGUACAAUGGCCUUGUCUAUUAGAGACUAGUAAGUGAGGGUGUAGGCGACAGCCAACUGGACGGAUAGCUCAUCAUUCAGGCCAUCCAAAAACCUUUCUCGACACUUGGCGUCAGUAUUCACCUCAUCGGGUGCAUAGCGGGACAGGCUGUUGAACACCUCUAUAAAUUCUAUCACGGUGCGGUUCCCCUGCCUCAGUUUUAGUAAUUCCUUCUUUUUCAGACUGAGUACCCCCGUUGAGAUGUGGGCGGUACGGAAAGACUCCUAGAACAUCUCCCAAGUAACAUCUUCGAUAGGGGUGGUGAUCUGAAAAUUUUCCCACCAAGACGCGACUGGUCCCUCCAGUAAAUGGGCAGCAAACCUGACCUUCUCUUCGUCAGUGCAGUUCGCAUUAACCAGAUUUUGGUUGACUGAACGGAGCCAGUCAUCUGCCACAAUCGGUUCUGGGGAGCUCGAAAAGGUGGGUGGCCGCAAUCUCAGAAAACGGGUCAGCAUAUCCACCUGGGGAGGUGGGUGGUGCUGGUUGUUGUGAUUCUGGUUGUGGUUCUGAUUAUUAUUGGCCGUUUGCUGAGUCAUCAACUGGAUGAACUGAGUCUAGACUGCCAGUAAUUGUUGCACUAAUGCAGCAUUCUCAUCCCCCUCUGCAUUAUUUUCAGCAUUGUUGUCAUUGUUGUUGGCAUUGUUGCGGGUUUGGCGUCGGCAUCUGUUUUAGGAUAGCAAAGAUGAGACAAAAUAUAGGUGGAAGAGGUCUAAGGAUAUCUAUCCCCCCACAAACAGACACAAGCAUAUCAAUCAAACAACAAUCCUUUAUUAAAAUUUCUUUUGAAGAUUCCAAAUAAACGACAUAAAGACUCAUUGUUGGCCCACGGCCUAAGUAAAAGGAAAAUAAAAUAAAAAUAAAAAUAAAAAGAAAAGAAGAACCAACGGUCUACGUCGCCAUACAACAUAGUUCUGUAUGGUCAACGACUAACAUGUACUCGAAUUUUAUUAUAUGCUAAGUAAGAUGUGGUGGUCUCCAAAACAACUAAGGGAGUGCGACGAAAGUGGUGGCUCCAUCGGCUCCCCUCCUGGAGCGGGUGUUGGCGGUUGGUGUGUCUUCCUCUGGAAAGCUCUCCUCCUCUGAGGGAUCAUCUGGAGGUGGUCCCUCUCCCUCGGGCUCGGAUAUCUCCUGUGCUGGAGCGUUGGCUGCGAGUGCGUUGUUGAGGAAGUUCUGCAUCUGAUCGAUGUGCAGCUGCAGCAAAUCCCUCUCGUACUGAACAUGCCGUAGAGCGUCCCCCAUAUUGAGUAUGGUGGCCUCUAGGUUGGCCCGGUUUCCCAGGAGUGCUCCAACCUGCUCCUCAGCAAUAUUAGCACGA
This 1390-nucleotide long non-coding RNA is filed under the name Brachypodium distachyon (stiff brome). RNAcentral describes it as "long non-coding RNA (BDIS_LNC004874)". The record is from RNAcentral. Lineage: Eukaryota; Viridiplantae; Streptophyta; Magnoliopsida; Poales; Poaceae.